CUUCUGCAGAAUUCCCCAGAGCACAGCUCCUCAGCAUGGACUGGAUGUGGAGAAUCCUCUGCUUGAUUGCAGUUCUGAAAAGUGCCCAUGGCCAGGUGCAGCUGGUGCAGUCUGGAGCUGAGCUGAGGAGGCCCGGGGCCUCAGUGAAGGUCUCCUGCAAGGCUUCUGGCUCCAGCAUUAACUGGAUAAGCUGGGUGCGACAGGGCCCUGGACAGGGGCUGCAGUGGAUGGGAAGUAUCGACGUAAGAGAUGGAGAAACUAAAUAUGAUCAGAAGUUCCAGGGCAAGGCCACCUUCACUGCAGUCAAGUCCUCCAGCACAGCCUACAUGGAGCUGAGCAGUCUGACGUCUGAGGACACGGCCGUGUAUUACUGUGCGAGACACAGUGUGGUGAACCACAUCCUCACUGUGUCAGAAACCAAGAGUGAUGAACAGCUGCCUUGA
This is a non-coding RNA of Chinchilla lanigera (long-tailed chinchilla), 443 nucleotides long. Lineage: Eukaryota; Metazoa; Chordata; Mammalia; Rodentia; Chinchillidae. The record is from the annotation of a RefSeq genome assembly.